CUGAACAACAACACCCAACGGCCCACCACUACUGAAGAUCAAUGACUGAACUGCGAUCCACGCUGGACCCAUGGUGGCUGCAGGACAGCAAAUGUGCUCUUGAGUAGUAGAAGUGUCUGACUUUCAUGUGCUACAGACCACAGCAACUUUUCCUUAUGUAGUGACCAGUGGUGUGCUGAAGAAGGCAUGGAGGACUUUGAAUUGGGUUUUGAAUUGGAUGCCACCCUGCUGUAUGCUGAAGGAAGUGUCAAAACAAGGAACAAGUGAAAAUGUAGACCUAAGAAGUGUGCAGAUUUUGCUCACCCACAGAAUGCCAUAUUGUUGCCAGACAAA
This is a long non-coding RNA of Centrocercus urophasianus (Greater sage-grouse), 333 nucleotides long. RefSeq lists it as uncharacterized. The record is from RefSeq and is a predicted model, not a curated record. The transcript is spliced from 3 exons. Lineage: Eukaryota; Metazoa; Chordata; Aves; Galliformes; Phasianidae.